CCUACGGGCGACAGCAGUGGGGAAUAUUGCACAAUGGGGGAAACCCUGAUCCAGCGACGCCGCGUGAGUGAAGAAGUAUUUCGGUAUGUAAAGCUCUAUCAGCAGGGAAGCUAAUGACGGUACCUGUCUAAGAAGCACCGGCUAACUACGUGCCAGCAGCCGCAGUACUACGUAGGGGGCAGGCGUUAUCCGGAUGUACUGGGUGUAAAGGGAGCGUAGACGGCAUGGCAAGUCUGAAGUGAAAGGCCGGGGCUCAACCGCGGGACUGCUUUUGAAACUGGUAAGCUUGAGUGGAGGAGAGGUAAGUGGAAUGCGUAGUGUAGCGGUGAAAUGCGUAGAUAUUAGGAAGAACACCAGUUGCGAAGGCAGCAUACUGGACUGUAACUGACGCUGAGGCACGAAAGCGUGGGGAGCGAACAGGAUUAGAUACCCUUGUAGUC
RNAcentral lists this ribosomal RNA (440 nucleotides) under uncultured bacterium. RNAcentral's name for it is "partial 16S ribosomal RNA". It matches the Rfam family "Bacterial small subunit ribosomal RNA", at positions 338 to 795 of the family's 1533-position model. The record is from RNAcentral.